Molecule: transfer RNA, 75 nt
Filed under: Planctomycetota bacterium
Lineage: Bacteria; Pseudomonadati; Planctomycetota
Description: Planctomycetes bacterium (marine metagenome) tRNA-Leu
Rfam family: tRNA
About the family: Transfer RNA (tRNA) molecules are approximately 80 nucleotides in length.
Source: RNAcentral
GCCCAGGUACGCCAACCCGGCAGAGCGGUCUGGCUUAAACCCAGAUGAUUGCAGGUUCGACUCCUGCUCUGGGCA